ACUGAAUAGAUACCCAGGUAGUCCACGCUGUAAACGAUGAUUACUCGAUGUUGGCGAUACACAGUCAGCGUCUGAGCGAAAGCAAUAAGUAAUCCACCUGGGGAGUACGAUCGCAAGAUUGAAACUCAAAGGAAUUGACGGGGGCCCGCACAAGCGGAGGAGCAUGUGGUUUAAUUCGAUGAUACGCGAGGAACCUUACCUGGGCUCGAACGUAAGAUGACUGUAGGUGAAAGCUUACAUCUCUUCGGAGCAUUUUACGAGGUGCUGCAUGGUUGUCGUCAGCUCGUGCCGUGAGGUGUCGGG
Molecule: ribosomal RNA, 303 nt
Filed under: uncultured bacterium
Lineage: Bacteria
Description: bacterial SSU rRNA
Rfam family: Bacterial small subunit ribosomal RNA
Source: RNAcentral